CUGCUUGUGGUCAGACAUCAACAUAACACACUGUCUCGGCGGGAUGUCGUACCCGCACCUGGGAGAGAAGACGCUUAUGUCAUAGAACAGAGAUUAAUAAAUUGUUUCAUCUUAUCAGGACAUUUCACGCUGCCGAGUCUGAGCCGAAACUGAAGGACACCUUGACAAUGUAAAUGGAAUUGCGAUUAUAAUGAUCUGAAGAUCACUAGGAGGGCAAAGAGCAAAGGAUCGCGCAGACAUUUUGGGAGACAGCUCAGCAAAUAAAAAGAAGAAGAAAAGCUGCAGACUUUGAUUUUAUAAGACAGACUGGAUCAGAGUCAAAGCUGCCACAUGCUGUGUGAAAAAUGCCACCCCGGUGUGAACAAAGGGCUUAAAAUGGAGUCAAAAAGCAUGGAAACUCUACGUCUAAGCCUUUCCUGGUCAUUGUACUGCCACAACCUGCAGGACGUCAAGUGGGCUGGAAAGAAUAGAGUGCUUGGAGAGAUUACUGUUGACAGUGAAACGCAUAGGGAUUUUUUUAAGGAUUAGAAGCGUAAAUAAAUCCAGUGUUUAUAUGAUGUAUAGAUAAAAAUAAAAAUAACCGCAUACUUAUAGUAUGCAUAAUAUGUGAUUUAUAUAUGAUGACACCUGGAAUUAUGAUUAAGUUUUUAUAUAACACUAUGGAAUAAAAAAAUAAGCUCAUUGCAAAAAAGAAAAAUUGUCACUUUUGCUCAGUAAUACAUUAUCAUAAGAGUCAUCACUAGCUAUUAUAGCACUUGAAUUUAAUAGGCAGCACGGACAGUGUAAUGGUUAGCAUUACUGCCUCCCAGCGCUGAGGUCAUGGGUUAAUUUCCCACUAUGGCCAUAACUGUGUGGAGUUUGUAUAUUCUCCCUCACGCUUGCGUGGGUUUCCUCCGGGUACUCCGGUUUCCUCCCACAAUCCAAAAAUAUACUGAUAGGUUAAUUGGCUUCAAACAAAAUUAACCCUAUUGUGAAUGUGUGUGUGUGUACAUGUGGUAGGGAAUAUAGAUUAUAAGCUCCACUGGGGCAGGGACUGAUGCGAAUGGCCAAAUAUUCUCUGUAAAGUGCUGCGGAACAUGUUGGUGCUAUAUAAAUAACUGGUAAUAAAUAACAAUAAAUGAUUACAUUAUUUCUUUGGGAA
This is a long non-coding RNA of Pseudophryne corroboree (corroboree frog), 1141 nucleotides long. RefSeq lists it as uncharacterized. Lineage: Eukaryota; Metazoa; Chordata; Amphibia; Anura; Myobatrachidae. The record is from RefSeq and is a predicted model, not a curated record. The transcript has 2 exons.